GGCCAGGUAGCUCAGUUGGUAGAGCAGAGGACUGAAAAUCCUCGUGUCGGUGGUUCAAUUCCUCCUCUGGCCA
Molecule: transfer RNA, 73 nt
Filed under: Candidatus Azosocius aquiferis
Lineage: Bacteria; Pseudomonadati; Pseudomonadota; Gammaproteobacteria; Candidatus Azoamicaceae
Also listed under: 1 other name
Description: tRNA-Phe
Rfam family: tRNA
About the family: Transfer RNA (tRNA) molecules are approximately 80 nucleotides in length. Their secondary structure includes four short double-helical elements and three loops (D, anti-codon, and T loops). Further hydrogen bonds mediate the characteristic L-shaped molecular structure. tRNAs have two regions of fundamental functional importance: the anti-codon, which is responsible for specific mRNA codon recognition, and the 3' end, to which the tRNAs corresponding amino acid is attached (by aminoacyl-tRNA synthetases). tRNAs cope with the degeneracy of the genetic code in two manners: having more than one tRNA (with a specific anti-codon) for a particular amino acid; and 'wobble' base-pairing, i.e. permitting non-standard base-pairing at the 3rd anti-codon position.
Source: RNAcentral